CGGGACAAGCCUAUGUAUGAUGAAAUCUUCUACACCUUAUCCCCGGUGGAUGGCAAGAUUACGGGCGCCAAUGCCAAAAAGGAGAUGGUGCGCUCCAAGUUGCCCAACAGCGUCCUGGGGAAGAUCUGGAAGCUAGCCGACAUUGACAAGGAUGGCAUGUUGGAUGAUGAGGAGUUUGCCCUGGCCAACCACCUUAUCAAAGUCAAGCUAGAGGGGCAUGAGCUGCCCAGUGAGCUGCCUGCCCAUCUCCUCCCUCCAUCUAAGAGGAAAGUAGCGGAGUGAGAGAGCCAGGCAGCUUCAGACAGACAGUGUCAAAAGAGAGGAUAGACGUGAUGACCACACACACACACACACACACACACACACACACACACACACACACACACGACUUGACAGUCACACUAUAAAUGAGAAGGGUUUGUCUUUGUUUGAGUACCUCUCCAAGUCCCCAGGGUUGGAGGAAGGGCGCUUUACCUCCUCUGUCUUAGGAUAUAGGCCUGUGUCCAAACUUUCUCUCCAUCUCCCUCCCAUUCCCCCAAAGACAUGAGGCAAUUAACACAGAUGGCCCACCCACCCUCUCCCCAGUGCCUUCACAUCUAGGCCCUGAGCAGAUGGGAAAGGCUUUUUGUGGAAUAGACAAUUCGCUUUAUUUUCUAUGCUUUUAUUUUUCCUCUGUGGCUUCCUAAGUAGAAAUUUACUCAGGGGCUGGGAGCUGGGAGGGAAAGGAGAAGCUAAGUGGGGAUGUUCAAACUGAGAAACCUCCAUAGGGCACUGCACCCACACUUGAAAAGACACUGGCCUAUGUUCUCUGUGGUUCUCUAAACCUAAGACUCUCUGUCUUCCUCAGUAAACUUGGACCUUAAAUACUGCCUGCCGCUUUGUGUCAAAGACUCCCAAAUCAGAAGAGAGAAAGAGUGGGGCUGGGGAUUUAGCUCAGUGGUAGAGCGCUUACCUAGGAAGAAGAAGAAGAGAGAAAGAACAAUUUGAUAGGAAAGCACAAGGAAGCUGCCCUAUGGUGUUCAUGAACAGGGCAUGUGCAGCUCAUGGGUUUAUUGCCCACCCCGCUCCCCGCCCCAGCCUAGCAUCUCUGGAUGCUCAGUUUCUUUAUACAUACCAAGCCAUUCCUGUGUGGCAGGAGCAGGGCGAGGCACUUUAUAUGUUUUAGUCCCUGUGACCUUCAUGAAUGUCCUAGGCAAGUGUGCUUCCUUCCUGUCAUUGCAGGACUCAGUAGUUUGGGGUACCUCCCCAAACUGGAACUCACAGGGAGAGAAGGUUCAAAUCCAGAAUUUGAGACCCUUCUAUUUGUCCCCGUUCUGUCAUGGAUGAAAGAUCCCAGUAUUGCUACCUGGUGACAAAGCACAGGACAGUCUGAACACAGAACCUCUCACACAGCCUUCCAGAGCAUCCAGGCAAGGGAGGGAGGCUCACCAGCCUUGGGUGGGCCAUCAAUCUGGCCAUCUGUUACCUUGUAGAAGGAAACUGUGCCUUCUGGCCUGCUCCUCAUGUUCACAACAUCACAGAAGUACAACCAAGCCAUGAGGAGAGUGGGCUGGCCUGCUAGAUGUUGUCUGUGCCUAUUCCUGCUCAGCCUCCCAUUUAGUAACCUAAAACAUCCCAGCUCGAAUUCAGCCACAGGCUUUUACAAAGCAGGACUCCAUGCUAAUUCACAGAAGGCCAUCUUGAGAGGACUGGAACCUUGUUCUCUACAGUGUUCCAGAGACACUGGUGUCGUUGGCAAAAAUUCUCCUUGUGCUCAGUGCCCUCCAUCUUCCUCCUGGCUUGGUCCAUGGCCACUGACACAGUAGCUGUCUGCUGCACUCCUACUGUGAUAGAAAACAAAGCAAGUAUAACUUAUUUUGUAUCUAUGUUCAGACAAUAGAGACUGUUCUGUGUAUCUACGAUGUGCUUAUAAUUGUCAUUAGGAUUCAUGUUAAUACAACAUAUUUACCCUUUGGUAUUC
Molecule: long non-coding RNA, 1960 nt
Filed under: Rattus norvegicus (Norway rat)
Lineage: Eukaryota; Metazoa; Chordata; Mammalia; Rodentia; Muridae
Description: long non-coding RNA NONRATT024063
Source: RNAcentral